This 400-nucleotide long non-coding RNA is filed under the name Ananas comosus (pineapple). Its description in RNAcentral is "long non-coding RNA (ACOM_LNC017323)". The record is from RNAcentral. Lineage: Eukaryota; Viridiplantae; Streptophyta; Magnoliopsida; Poales; Bromeliaceae.
GGAGGGGGGGUGCUGUGUUUAGGUGAUGUAAAGUUUUAGGGUUCAGGGUUUUUUACGGUUUAGGGUUUAUAGUAGAGAGGCAAGGGCGGCGGCGGGCGGCGGGGAAGGGUGAUGAUGGCGGAAGGGAUGGUGGAUGGGGGGAUGGUGGCGAAGAGAUGGUGGGAUGUGGGCUAAAAGAGAUAGAGAAGAGAAAUUGAGAGACAUAUAUAUAUAGGAGAAAUUGAGAGAGAAUGAGAGAAGAGAAAUUAAAAAACAAAUAAAAUAAAUGAGAGAUUAAUUCUAACCAUUUAUCAAAAUUGACGAAUGAUUAAAAAUUUAGGAGCACAAGGACUGCUAUACGCUUAAUAAAUAGUAGUCUUGCUCUACAUAUAUACAUAUGCACAACAAAAUCAUAUCCACC